Molecule: unclassified non-coding RNA, 329 nt
Filed under: soil metagenome
Description: partial contains 5.8S ribosomal RNA, internal transcribed spacer 2, and large subunit ribosomal RNA
Rfam family: 5.8S ribosomal RNA (bases 1-120)
Source: RNAcentral
GAUGAAGAACGUAGCGAAAUGCGAUAAGUAAUGUGAAUUGCAGAAUUCAGUGAAUCAUCGAAUCUUUGAACGCACAUUGCGCCCUCUGGUAUUCCGGGGGGCAUGCCUGUUCGAGCGUCAUUAUAACCACUCAAGCUCUCGCUUGGUAUUGGGGUUCGCGGUUUCGCGGCCCCUAAAAUCAGUGGCGGUGCCUGUCGGCUCUACGCGUAGUAAUACUUCUCGCGAUUGAGUUCGAUAGGUCUACUUACCAGUAACCCCCAAUUUUUACAGGUUGACCUCGGAUCAGGUAGGGAUACCCGCUGAACUUAAGCAUAUCAAUAAGCGGAGGA